Molecule: ribosomal RNA, 433 nt
Filed under: uncultured bacterium
Lineage: Bacteria
Description: partial 16S ribosomal RNA
Rfam family: Bacterial small subunit ribosomal RNA
Source: RNAcentral
AGCGAACGCUGGCGGCAGGCUUAACACAUGCAAGUCGAGCGGGCACUUCGUUGUCAGCUGCAGACGGGUGAGUAACACGUGGGAACGUACCCUUUUGUUCGGAAUAACGCUUUUAAACUAGCGCUAAUACCGGAUACGCCCUUUUGGUGAAAGGCUUGCUGCCGAAGGAUCGGCCCGCGUCUGAUUAGCUGGUUGGUGGGGUAAUGGCCUACCAAGGCUACGAUCAUUAGCUGGUAUGAGAGAAUGAUCAGCGACACUGGGACUGAGAAACAGCCCAGAAUACUACGGGAGGGAGGAGUGGGGAAUAUAGGAAAAUGGGGGGAAGGAUGAAGGAGCCAUGGCGCGAGAGUGAUGAAGGCGGUAGGGUUGUAAAGCUGUUUAGUACGGGACGAUAAUGACGGUACCGGAAGAAUAAGCCCCGGCUAACUUCGUG